Molecule: ribosomal RNA, 903 nt
Filed under: uncultured Sphingobacteriia bacterium
Lineage: Bacteria; Pseudomonadati; Bacteroidota; Sphingobacteriia
Description: bacterial SSU rRNA
Rfam family: Bacterial small subunit ribosomal RNA
Source: RNAcentral
CAAGUCGGACGGGAUUUAGGAGCUUGCUUCUAAUGAGAGUGGCGCACGGGUGCGUAACACGUAUGUAACCUACCCUUGUCAGGGGGAUAGCCUCAUCGAAAGAGAGAUUAAGCCCGCAUAACAUUAAGACACAGCAUUGUGAUUUAAUCAAAUAUUUAUAGGACAAGGAUGGGCAUGCGGAACAUUAGCUAGUUGGUAAGGUAACGGCUUACCAAGGCUACGAUGUUUAGGGGAUCUGAGAGGAUGGCCCCCCACACUGGUACUGAGACACGGACCAGACUCCUACGGGAGGCAGCAGUAAGGAAUAUUGGUCAAUGGGCGGAAGCCUGAACCAGCCAUGCCGCGUGCAGGAAGACGGCCCUACGGGUUGUAAACUGCUUUUGCAGGGGAAUAAACCCCCGUAUGUAUACGGGGCUGAAUGUACUCUGAGAAUAAGGAUCGGCUAACUCCGUGCCAGCAGCCGCGGUAAUACGGAGGAUCCAAGCGUUAUCCGGAUUUAUUGGGUUUAAAGGGUGCGUAGGCGGCCUAUUAAGUCAGGGGUGAAAGACGGUAGCUUAACUAUCGCAGUGCCUUUGAUACUGAUGAGCUUGAAUGUAGUUGAGGUAGGCGGAAUGUGACAAGUAGCGGUGAAAUGCAUAGAUAUGUCACAGAACACCAAUUGCGAAGGCAGCUUACUAAAGUAUGAUUGACGCUGAGGCACGAGAGCGUGGGGAUCAAACAGGAUUAGAUACCCUGGUAGUCCACGCCCUAAACGAUGAAUACUCGAUGUUGGCGAUAUACAGUCAGCGUCAAAGCGAAAGCGUUAAGUAUUCCACCUGGGGAGUACGCCCGCAAGGGUGAAACUCAAAGGAAUUGACGGGGGCCCGCACAAGCGGAGGAGCAUGUGGUUUAAUUCGAUGAUAC